Non-coding RNA from Thunnus maccoyii (southern bluefin tuna), 82 nucleotides. NCBI's taxonomy places the organism in Eukaryota, Metazoa, Chordata, Actinopteri, Scombriformes, Scombridae. The record is from the annotation of a RefSeq genome assembly.
GCUGUGAUGGCGGAGUGGUUAAGGUGUUGGGCUUGAAAUCCAACAGGGGUUCUGCAUGCAGGUUCAAACCCUGCUCACAGUA